This 404-nucleotide ribosomal RNA is filed under the name Massilia hydrophila. RNAcentral describes it as "bacterial SSU rRNA". It matches the Rfam family "Bacterial small subunit ribosomal RNA", at positions 1130 to 1533 of the family's 1533-position model. The record is from RNAcentral. Lineage: Bacteria; Pseudomonadati; Pseudomonadota; Betaproteobacteria; Burkholderiales; Oxalobacteraceae.
GUUGGGCACUCUAAUGAGACUGCCGGUGACAAACCGGAGGAAGGUGGGGAUGACGUCAAGUCCUCAUGGCCCUUAUGGGUAGGGCUUCACACGUCAUACAAUGGUACAUACAGAGGGCCGCCAACCCGCGAGGGGGAGCUAAUCCCAGAAAGUGUAUCGUAGUCCGGAUUGUAGUCUGCAACUCGACUACAUGAAGUUGGAAUCGCUAGUAAUCGCGGAUCAGCAUGUCGCGGUGAAUACGUUCCCGGGUCUUGUACACACCGCCCGUCACACCAUGGGAGCGGGUUUUACCAGAAGUAGGUAGCUUAACCGCAAGGAGGGCGCUUACCACGGUAGGAUUCGUGACUGGGGUGAAGUCGUAACAAGGUAGCCGUAUCGGAAGGUGCGGCUGGAUCACCUCCUUU